This 465-nucleotide ribosomal RNA is filed under the name uncultured bacterium. Its description in RNAcentral is "bacterial SSU rRNA". It matches the Rfam family "Bacterial small subunit ribosomal RNA", at positions 28 to 507 of the family's 1533-position model. The record is from RNAcentral.
GACGAACGCUGGCGGCGUGCCUAACACAUGCAAGUCGAGCGGGGACCGAGGUGCUUGCACCUUGGUUCUAGCGGCGGACGGGUGAGUAACGCGUGAGCAACCUGCCUCAAACUGGGGGAUAACGCAUCGAAAGAUGUGCUAAUACCGCGUAAGACCACGCUACCACAUGGUAGAGGGGUCAAAGGAGCAAUCCGGUUUGAGAUGGGCUCGCGUCUGAUUAGCUAGUUGGCGGGAUAACAGCCCACCAAGGCGACGAUCGGUAGCCGACCUGAGAGGGUGAUCGGCCACAUUGGAACUGAGAUACGGUCCAGACUCCUACGGGAGGCAGCAGUGGGGAAUAUUGCGCAAUGGGGGCAACCCUGACGCAGCAACGCCGCGUGAAGGAUGAAGGUCUUCGGAUCGUAAACUUUGUCUUAUGGAAGAACAAGGACGGUACCAUAGGAGGAAGCCACGGCUAACUACGUG